GCAUUGGUGGUUCAGUGGUAGAAUUCUCUCUCGCCUUCCAUGCAGCAGACCCAGGUUCAAUUCCCAGUCAAUGCA
RNAcentral lists this transfer RNA (75 nucleotides) under Loxodonta africana (African savanna elephant). It matches the Rfam family "tRNA". From Rfam's summary of the family: Transfer RNA (tRNA) molecules are approximately 80 nucleotides in length. Their secondary structure includes four short double-helical elements and three loops (D, anti-codon, and T loops). Lineage: Eukaryota; Metazoa; Chordata; Mammalia; Proboscidea; Elephantidae. The record is from Rfam by way of RNAcentral.